This 1385-nucleotide long non-coding RNA is filed under the name Vulpes vulpes (red fox). RNAcentral's name for it is "lncRNA (ENSVVUG00000005498.1)". The record is from RNAcentral. Lineage: Eukaryota; Metazoa; Chordata; Mammalia; Carnivora; Canidae.
GAAGAAACAACUCAGGCAGUGACUCGAAUUGCAGGAGACAACGAGCAGAGGCUGGGACAUACUGGGACGGAGCUUGAAAUCUCGAAUGUUGGAGGAGGGGACGUGCCUGCUCCNAACUCGAAUUGCAGGAGACAACGAGCAAGACAACGAGCAAAGGCUGAGACGUACUGGGACGGAGCUUGAAAUCUCGAAUGUUGGAGGAGGGGACGUGCCUGCUCCCCGACGAGGUCUGGGACGUCUGUUCCUCUGCACACGCAUUUUGUACAGCGCGGUGCAUUCCUCUACACAGUACGGUGCUGUUGGGCUCGUUCCAUACAUGCCUAGGCUCGGCGGACGAGAGAGAGCCUGAAAUCCAAGAGGCCAAGAAGCAAAGGCCGGUCACAGACGGGACCAAGGUGGGCGUCCAGGGACCAGAGAGCCCGAGCACGGGGGGAAGAGGUGCAGGAGAUAAGCAGGUAGAGGCCAGGAUUGGGGAUUAUGCCCGCGCUGAUCCUAAAUGCCCGUCGGAUGGCCGCUCCUGCAGCUUAGCAUCACGGGAGCAGCUCCUGACACUCCUACGUGCUGAUCCUUCCUGAACCACGUCCGCGUCUUAAACUUUCUCAGGGCCACGCGGCCCAUGUAGAGAGGUGUGCGGGCACCCACUUAAUCUGGGGGCACCUCCGAGGUAGGGGCAGCGGGGCGCGCCUGCAAGGAGUAGGGGGCACUGGGAGCUCAGGGUAAGAGGCUGAGAAGGAGGCUCCGAAGACAGGCGCCGGAAGGUUUGCACAGAAGCAAGGCGACCACCGUCACCCAAGAUGAAUCCCCAGCUCCCCCGCCCCGUGCCCUCUGGUUUGCAUCAUUUUCAAAUAUCAAAAGCAGCCACGAGCUCACGUGGAGCCCCGGGGAGAGAGCAUUCCGCCUUGUUGACACUCCCCAGAUGGCUCCAGCCACCACAGUUCUCUCUCUCUUGUGACUUUUUUACCAGAACGAAAUCAUCUUGUCUGGGGCUGCCUCUGCCUGCGUUUUGUUAUUGUUCAUGGUCUCCUUGAGAGCGAAGUGUGAGGCAGCUAAAAGCAUUCCUUUGGAGAUGCUAUCUAAUCAGCCAGGGACUUGCGGGGCCCCUGGAGUGGACGGAAGGACGCACCCCUGCAAGGGCCACCCCCACCCGCACACCCCCUCCGUGCUGGAGGCUCGGCAGGUAGCAGGGAAAUUUCUCGGUUUGGGCGGUUUGGCUUUUUACGGCCAUCGGUCCUGAAUGCGUGACAGUGUUGCAUUUUUAAUUAUGAUGAUGUUAAAUGAACUUAAUGGGUGACUCUCUCCCGAUUCACAGAGCGUUUUUAUAACAUUUAUUAAAAAAGGCCAAAGUUUAUUUUACAAUCCGUAAUAAACGGGGACACAAAAAUGCA